AGCGGCGGACGGGUGAGUAAUGCUUAGGAAUCUGCCUAUUAGUGGGGGACAACAUUCCGAAAGGGAUGCUAAUACCGCAUACGUCCUACGGGAGAAAGCAGGGGAUCUUCGGACCUUGCGCUAAUAGAUGAGCCUAAGUCGGAUUAGCUAGUUGGUGGGGUAAAGGCCUACCAAGGCGACGAUCUGUAGCGGGUCUGAGAGGAUGAUCCGCCACACUGGGACUGAGACACGGCCCAGACUCCUACGGGAGGCAGCAGUGGGGAAUAUUGGACAAUGGGGGGAACCCUGAUCCAGCCAUGCCGCGUGUGUGAAGAAGGCCUUAUGGUUGUAAAGCACUUUAAGCGAGGAGGAGGCUACUAAGACUAAUACUCUUGGAUAGUGGACGUUACUCGCAGAAUAAGCACCGGCUAACUCUGUGCCAGCAGCCGCGGUAAUACAGAGGGUGCGAGCGUUAAUCGGAUUUACUGGGCGUAAAGCGUGCGUAGGCGGCUUUUUAAGUCGGAUGUGAAAUCCCCGAGCUUAACUUGGGAAUUGCAUUCGAUACUGGGAAGCUAGAGUAUGGGAGAGGAUGGUAGAAUUCCAGGUGUAGCGGUGAAAUGCGUAGAGAUCUGGAGGAAUACCGAUGGCGAAGGCAGCCAUCUGGCCUAAUACUGACGCUGAGGUACGAAAGCAUGGGGAGCAAACAGGAUUAGAUACCCUGGUAGUCCAUGCCGUANACGAUGUCUACUAGC
Molecule: ribosomal RNA, 731 nt
Filed under: uncultured bacterium
Lineage: Bacteria
Description: bacterial SSU rRNA
Rfam family: Bacterial small subunit ribosomal RNA
Source: RNAcentral